Molecule: ribosomal RNA, 485 nt
Filed under: uncultured bacterium
Lineage: Bacteria
Description: partial 16S ribosomal RNA
Rfam family: Bacterial small subunit ribosomal RNA
Source: RNAcentral
UAAGGAAUAUGGUCAAUGACGAAGUCUGAACCAGCCAUGCCGCGUGGAGGAUGAAGGUCCUCUGGAUUGUAAACUUCUUUUAUAUGGGACGAAAAAGGUCUUUCUAGAUCGUCUGACGGUACCAGAUGAAUAAGCACCGGCUAACUCCGUGCCAGCAGCCGCGGUAAUACGGAGGGUGCAAGCGUUAUCCGGAUUCACUGGGUUUAAAGGGUGCGUAGGUGGGUUGGUAAGUCAGUGGUGAAAUCUUCGAGCUUAACUCGGAAACUGCCAUUGAUACUAUCAGUCUUGAAUAUUGUGGAGGUUAGCGGAAUAUGUCAUGUAGCGGUGAAAUGCUUAGAUAUGACAUAGAACACCAAUUGCGAAGGCAGCUGGCUACACAUAUAUUGACACUGAGGCACGAAAGCGUGGGGAUCAAACAGGAUUAGAUACCCUGGUAGUCCACGCCCUAAACUAUGGAUACUCGACAUACGCGAUACACUGUGUGU